UCCGUUUCCAAAUCUAAAAACUUCCUUCUUCAGGAUUUCUUUUUUGUGUGAAAUGGUCUACAUUGUCUAAGUCAAAUUGCAUUUAUAUGUCAAUGAAGUAAGGGAUUUAAUAGGAGGGUGUGUGGAUUUUGAAUAGGUGAUUUAGCUGUGUGUGUGGAUGCAUAUUUACAGAUGCAUAGAAUUAUUAUCAUUAAUAUUGACCUCUGAAAUUUAAAGUGAGUCUUUUUAAAUAGGAAGUUCAUAAAGCAAGAUUAGCACAUUAUUUGGAUAAUGUUUCUCCUUGGAAAUCAGAAUGUGAUGAUGGUAAUGCUGAAGAGAUAUUUAUAAACAUUAAAAAAACUCUGCAACAGAUAAAGGACAAAGAAUAUAUUAUUCAUUGGUGUCUUAAUGCAACUAUGCCUUCAUUACAAUUGACAGAUCAGUUAUUAAGAUUUGCCAAAGACACAUGCUCUGAAAUUCGUACAAUAUGUAAAGAAGAAUUGCUUGAAGAGGUUUGAAUUUUUAUUUCAUAUAAUUUAAUUUUUUAUCA
This is a long non-coding RNA of Centruroides sculpturatus (bark scorpion), 529 nucleotides long. RefSeq lists it as uncharacterized. The transcript has 3 exons. NCBI's taxonomy places the organism in Eukaryota, Metazoa, Arthropoda, Arachnida, Scorpiones, Buthidae. The record is from RefSeq and is a predicted model, not a curated record.